This 248-nucleotide ribosomal RNA is filed under the name uncultured bacterium. RNAcentral describes it as "partial 16S ribosomal RNA". It matches the Rfam family "Bacterial small subunit ribosomal RNA", at positions 109 to 354 of the family's 1533-position model. The record is from RNAcentral.
AGUAACGCGUGGACAACCUACCGUAUGCAGGGGGAUACCAGCUGGAAACAGCUGCUAAUACCGCAUAUGCGCACAGGGCCGCAUGGCCUGGUGCGGAAAGGAGCAAUCCGGCAUACGAUGGGUCCGCGUCCGAUUAGCUAGUUGGCGGGGCAGCGGCCCACCAAGGCGACGAUCGGUAGCCGGCCUGAGAGGGCGGACCGGCCACAUUGGGACUGAGACACGGCCCAGACUCCUACGGAAGGCAGCAG